UGCCUCAGCAGACAGUCAGCUCAAACUACCAGACGUGCAAAUGAGAGGAUCUGGCAGCUUCUAGGACAGCCAAUCCUGCUGAUAAAUGCAAUGCAAGAAGGAAUCCAGAAUCUUGCUUUGUCACCCAGGCUGGAGUGCAGUGGCAUGAUCUCAGCUCAUUACAACAUCUGCCUCCCAGGUUCAAGCAAUUUUCCUGCCUCCACCUCCUGAGUAGCUGGGACUACAGUUGCAUACCACCACAUCUGGCUAAUUUUUGUAUUUUUAGUAGAGAGAGGGUUUCAACGUGUUGACCAGCUGGUCUCGAACUCCUGACCUCAGGUGAUCCACCCGCCUUGGCCUUCUGAAGUACUGUGAUUACAACCGUGAGCCACCGCGCCCAGCCUGAAUCCUGACUUUCUGACCUAGGGCAAUUUAACAAAAUUUUCUGAAUCUCAGUUUCUCCAUAUUUCAUUGAGCAAUGAAAGUGUCUUUCUCACAACAUUGUGAUGAAUCAUAAAAUGGAAAAGAACAAAGCAACACAGAAUAUUAAACUCAAUGCCUGUUACAUAAUCAAUGAUGCAUACAUUAGUACUAUUAGAGUCAGGUAUUGCUAUGUCUAUGACAAUAACUACAGAUGUUCUUUACUAGAACGUGAAGAAGGAACAAAAAUCUGAUAAUUUUAAACUACAUCUUGUCUGGAGUCUCAGUCAGACCUCACGUAUGUAUUUCCAACAUAUUUUACUAUGUGAGGGAUAUCUUUUUUAUUUUCUCAAGACUUGAGAAUUAAUUAAAAAAAUGUAUAUACAUAUAUCUCAGGUGAAGGUGUGUGUCUGUAGCAUUACAUACAUUAAAUAUAUAGCAUUCUGGAAAAGUUGAUAUAUUACUACAAAAAUAGUACAAUGUGAAUGUCUUCAAUCUUUCCCCAUUCACCAAUUGUAACUAGGCCUCUGACUUUUCUCUUCUGUAUAAGCCCCACUCAGACCAGCAUACUUUUGUUUUGAGAACUAAGCAAGGUGAUUGAGUGAUCAUUGAAAUGAUGUUCUUGGUCUCUAGAAAUCCAUGUGCUGGGAGAAGUGAGGGAGGACACAUAUAACACACACUUAGCCCAUAAAUUAAUACAGUAAAUCCAGAGAUACACUGCUUUAAAGAAAUGCAUGGAAUAGAGGAUGAGCGGGUGAUGCUUUAGUUUGGCUACUUGGAGAAAACUUUCUUCAGGAGGUGAUACUUGAGGUGAGGAGGGUACUGUCUUACUUAGGUGUCCCAUUUGACAUUGUUGAUGGGGAUUGUGAGUCAGAAAUGGGGAAUGGAGAGUAGAAAAGAGGCACAGGCCAGGAACUGAGAAGUGUUCACAUAGCAGGCAAUAAAUACAGAGGCACUGGAGAGAAUGAUGCUGGAGUCACUGAGACAUAUGAGAGCAAUAACAAGAUUAAAAGCAUUACUUCCAGACCUUGUGCCCUUUUACAGCAUUUCAGAACCACAAGUAAAAUGCAUGAGCUAUUUUGAAAUUGUUUGACCUUUUUUGCUUUAUACAAUAGUGACAUUUGUUAAGUUAGGAGUGUGGGAC
Molecule: long non-coding RNA, 1543 nt
Filed under: Homo sapiens (human)
Lineage: Eukaryota; Metazoa; Chordata; Mammalia; Primates; Hominidae
Description: HSALNT0386533
Source: RNAcentral